Molecule: ribosomal RNA, 460 nt
Filed under: uncultured bacterium
Lineage: Bacteria
Description: partial 16S ribosomal RNA
Rfam family: Bacterial small subunit ribosomal RNA
Source: RNAcentral
CCUACGGGAGGCAGCAGUGAGGAAUAUUGGUCAAUGGGCGCGAGCCUGAACCAGCCAAGUAGCGUGAAGGAUGACUGCCCUACGGGUUGUAAACCUCUUUUAUCAAGGAAUAAAGUGCGGCACGUGUGCCUUUUUGUAUGUACUUUAUGAAUAAGGAUCGGCUAACUCCGUGCCAGCAGCCGCGGUAAUACGGAGGAUCCGAGCGUUAUCCGGAUUUAUUGGGUUUAAAGGGAGCGUAGAUGGGUUGUUAAGUCAGUUGUGAAAGUUUGCGGCUCAACCGUAAAAUUGCAAUUGAUACUGGCAGUCUUGAGUGCAGGUGAAGUAGGCGGAAUUCGUGGUGUAGCGGUGAAAUGCUUAGAUAUCACGAAGAACUCCGAUUGCGAAGGCAGCUUGCUAAACUGCGACUGACAUUGAUGCUCGAAAGUGUGGGUAUCGAACAGGAUUAGAUACCCUAGUAGUC